GAUGAAGAACGUAGCGAAAUGCGAUAAGUAAUGUGAAUUGCAGAAUUCAGUGAAUCAUCGAAUCUUUGAACGCACAUUGCGCCCGCCAGUACUCUGGCGGGCAUGCCUGUUCGAGCGUCAUUUCAACCAUCAAGCCCCCGGCUUGUGUUGGGGACCUGCGGCUGCCGCAGGCCCUGAAAGCCAGUGGCGGGCUCGCUGUCACACCGAGCGUAGUAGAUUUUCAUCUCGCUCAGGGCGUGCUGCGGGUUCCGGCCGUAAAAAGCCUUAUUUACCCAAGGUUGACCUCGGAUCAGGUAGGAAGACCCGCUGAACUUAAGCAUAUCAAUAAGCGGAGGA
RNAcentral lists this unclassified non-coding RNA (336 nucleotides) under soil metagenome. RNAcentral describes it as "partial contains 5.8S ribosomal RNA, internal transcribed spacer 2, and large subunit ribosomal RNA". The stretch from base 1 to 120 matches the Rfam family "5.8S ribosomal RNA", at positions 35 to 154 of the family's 154-position model. The record is from RNAcentral.